RNAcentral lists this ribosomal RNA (990 nucleotides) under Bacillus pumilus. RNAcentral describes it as "bacterial SSU rRNA". It matches the Rfam family "Bacterial small subunit ribosomal RNA", at positions 51 to 1026 of the family's 1533-position model. Lineage: Bacteria; Bacillati; Bacillota; Bacilli; Caryophanales; Bacillaceae. The record is from RNAcentral.
AUACAUGCAGUCGAGCGGACAGAAGGGAGCUUGCUCCCGGAUGUUAGCGGCGGACGGGUGAGUAACACGUGGGUAACCUGCCUGUAAGACUGGGAUAACUCCGGGAAACCGGAGCUAAUACCGGAUAGUUCCUUGAACCGCAUGGUUCAAGGAUGAAAGACGGUUUCGGCUGUCACUUACAGAUGGACCCGCGGCGCAUUAGCUAGUUGGUGAGGUAACGGCUCACCAAGGCGACGAUGCGUAGCCGACCUGAGAGGGUGAUCGGCCACACUGGGACUGAGACACGGCCCAGACUCCUACGGGAGGCAGCAGUAGGGAAUCUUCCGCAAUGGACGAAAGUCUGACGGAGCAACGCCGCGUGAGUGAUGAAGGUUUUCGGAUCGUAAAGCUCUGUUGUUAGGGAAGAACAAGUGCAAGAGUAACUGCUUGCACCUUGACGGUACCUAACCAGAAAGCCACGGCUAACUACGUGCCAGCAGCCGCGGUAAUACGUAGGUGGCAAGCGUUGUCCGGAAUUAUUGGGCGUAAAGGGCUCGCAGGCGGUUUCUUAAGUCUGAUGUGAAAGCCCCCGGCUCAACCGGGGAGGGUCAUUGGAAACUGGGAAACUUGAGUGCAGAAGAGGAGAGUGGAAUUCCACGUGUAGCGGUGAAAUGCGUAGAGAUGUGGAGGAACACCAGUGGCGAAGGCGACUCUCUGGUCUGUAACUGACGCUGAGGAGCGAAAGCGUGGGGAGCGAACAGGAUUAGAUACCCUGGUAGUCCACGCCGUAAACGAUGAGUGCUAAGUGUUAGGGGUUUCCGCCCCUUAGUGCUGCAGCUAACGCAUUAAGCACUCCGCCUGGGGAGUACGGUCGCAAGACUGAAACUCAAGGAAUUGACGGGGGCCCGCACAAGCGGUGGAGCAUGUGGUUUAAUUCGGAAGCAACGCGAAGAACCUUACCAGGUCUUGACAUCCUCUGACAACCCUAGAGAUAGGGCUUUCCCUUCGGGA